GUGAGGAAUAUUGGUCAAUGGACGAGAGUCUGAACCAGCCAAGUAGCGUGAAGGAUGACUGCCCUACGGGUUGUAAACUUCUUUUAUAUGGGAAUAAAAUGUUCCACGUGUGGGAUUUUGUAUGUACCAUAUGAAUAAGGAUCGGCUAACUCCGUGCCAGCAGCCGCGGUAAUACGGAGGAUCCGAGCGUUAUCCGGAUUUAUUGGGUUUAAAGGGAGCGUAGGUGGAUUGUUAAGUCAGUUGUGAAAGUUUGCGGCUCAACCGUAAAAUUGCAGUUGAAACUGGCAGUCUUGAGUACAGUAGAGGUGGGCGGAAUUCGUGGUGUAGCGGUGAAAUGCUUAGAUAUCACGAAGAACUCCGAUUGCGAAGGCAGCUCACUGGACUGCAACUGACACUGAGGCUCGAAAGUGUGGGUAUCAAACAGG
This 425-nucleotide ribosomal RNA is filed under the name uncultured bacterium. RNAcentral's name for it is "bacterial SSU rRNA". It matches the Rfam family "Bacterial small subunit ribosomal RNA", at positions 354 to 776 of the family's 1533-position model. The record is from RNAcentral.